Molecule: ribosomal RNA, 492 nt
Filed under: uncultured bacterium
Lineage: Bacteria
Description: partial 16S ribosomal RNA
Rfam family: Bacterial small subunit ribosomal RNA
Source: RNAcentral
AGUGAACGCUGGCGGUAGGCCUAACACAUGCAAGUCGAACGGCAGCACAGUAAGAGCUUGCUCUUACGGGUGGCGAGUGGCGGACGGGUGAGGAAUACAUCGGAAUCUACUUUUUCGUGGGGGAUAACGUAGGGAAACUUACGCUAAUACCGCAUACGACCUACGGGUGAAAGCAGGGGAUCUUCGGACCUUGCGCGAUUGAAUGAGCCGAUGUCGGAUUAGCUAGUUGGCGGGGUAAAGGCCCACCAAGGCGACGAUCCGUAGCUGGUCUGAGAGGAUGAUCAGCCACACUGGAACUGAGCCACGUUCCAGACUACUACGGGAGGCAGCAGUGGGGAAUAUUGGACAAUGGGCUCAAGCCUGAUCCAGCCAUACCGCGUGGGUGAAGAAGGCCUUCGGGUUGUAAAGCCCUUUUGUUGGGAAAGAAAAGCAGCAGGUUAAUACCCCGCUGUUCUGACGGUACCCAAAGAAUAAGCACCGGCUAACUUCGUG